CGGUGGACUAGCCCGGAUGGUUCGGCGUCAUCUGCAACCCGAAAUCGCCGAUAUGCGGGGGGCGAAGCCUGAGGAAGUUUUUUUCGUUGCCGGGAGGCUAUGGAGGGUUUUCGUAGAAACCUUGUCCUGUGGGGUCGCCGGUGAUACGUGGCAUGCCGGAGGGUCUGUCUCGUAUCUUUGUUGUGCACACCGGUUUAGGCCCGGAAGGGAGCAGACUCACCACAAACGCACGACGCUCAUGGGGUGGCAGGGCGGAGGGGAUCUUUCAAAAGUGCUCGGUAUACGAAAUUCCAACCGAGGGUGCGUCCACCU
This 312-nucleotide signal recognition particle RNA is filed under the name Candidatus Methanolliviera hydrocarbonicum. RNAcentral's name for it is "signal recognition particle sRNA". It matches the Rfam family "Archaeal signal recognition particle RNA". The record is from RNAcentral. Lineage: Archaea; Methanobacteriati; Methanobacteriota; Candidatus Methanoliparia; Candidatus Methanoliparales; Candidatus Methanollivieraceae.